ACGGAAGGCAGCAGUGGGGAAUAUUGCACAAUGGGCGAAAGCCUGAUGCAGCGACGCCGCGUGAGUGAAGAAGUAUCUCGGUAUGUAAGGCUCUAUCAGCAGGGAAGAAAAUGACGGUACCUGACUAAGAAGCCCCGGCUAACUACGUGCCAGCAGCCGCGGUAAUACGUAGGGGGCAAGCGUUAUCCGGAUUUACUGGGUGUAAAGGGAGCGUAGACGGUUUGGCAAGUCUGAAGUGAAAUGCGGGGGCUCAACUCCUGAACUGCUUUGGAAACUGUCGAACUAGAGUGCAGGAGAGGUAAGUGGAAUUCCUAGUGUAGCGGUGAAAUGCGUAGAUAUUAGGAGGAACACCAGUGGCGAAGGCGGCUUACUGGACUGUAACUGACGUUGAGGCUCGAAAGCGUGGGGAGCAAACAGGAUUAGAUACCCUGGUA
RNAcentral lists this ribosomal RNA (434 nucleotides) under uncultured Clostridium sp. Its description in RNAcentral is "partial 16S ribosomal RNA". It matches the Rfam family "Bacterial small subunit ribosomal RNA", at positions 341 to 792 of the family's 1533-position model. RNAcentral also lists the same sequence under 1 other name. Lineage: Bacteria; Bacillati; Bacillota; Clostridia; Eubacteriales; Clostridiaceae. The record is from RNAcentral.